Molecule: long non-coding RNA, 638 nt
Filed under: Citrus x clementina
Lineage: Eukaryota; Viridiplantae; Streptophyta; Magnoliopsida; Sapindales; Rutaceae
Description: Citrus clementina (C. clementina) long non-coding RNA (CCLE_LNC006551)
Source: RNAcentral
UAAGCAAAAUAUUAAAAACACACUUAAAAAAUAAGAUUACAGGGAGAUUGAGAGAAAUUGAGAAGAACAGAGAUAUAGAGAGAUAUAGAGAGAUGAUGAAAAACAUAAAAAUGAGGCUCUAUUUAUAGAAAAAUAAAUUCAUAAUCAAGUGUCUUGCGGUCCAUCAUAAGCUUCAUGUAUGCUCUCCUCACAACCAUUAGAUCAAGAUCCAACGGCUGGUCAAACAUCAAAAGUCAACAUUACACGUGGCAUCAUUUGACUCGUCUGAUUUGGCCAAAGAACGGUUGAGAUUUGGUGAGUUAAUGGGUGGAUCGAGUCAACCCGAAUACAAAGAUUCGGAUCCUACAACUUGUUUCACCAAUCAUUGCCUCGUGGCACAAUCAUGGCCAUUGAAUUAUGAACGGUUGAGAUUUAGUCAAAAUUGCCAGUUAUCCCAUGCACUCAUAUCUAUUGUAAGCUCAUUUUAUCAUCCAAUCAGUGCUCGAUCAAUAGAAAAAUUCAACUUUUUUUACACAAGCCCAAUUUUAUGCCGAUUUUGACUCAUCUUAAAGUUUUUGGACCUUCAGAAUCCAAAUUUGACAUCCGUUUAUCUAUUUGGAGCCUCGAAUUAUGUGAAAUUAAUAUUUUACCUAAUAAAC